UACGAAGGGGCUAGCGUUGUUCGGAAUCACUGGGCGUAAAGCGCUCGUAGGCGGAUCUUUAAGUCAGAGGUGAAAUCCCAAGGCUCAACCUUGGAACUGCCUUUGAUACUGGGGAUCUCGAGUCCGGGAGAGGUGAGUGGAACUGCGAGUGUAGAGGUGAAAUUCGUAGAUAUUCGCAAGAACACCAGUGGCGAAGGCGGCUCACUGGCCCGGUACUGACGCUGAGGAGCGAAAGCGUGGGAGCAAACAGG
This 251-nucleotide ribosomal RNA is filed under the name uncultured bacterium. RNAcentral describes it as "partial 16S ribosomal RNA". It matches the Rfam family "Bacterial small subunit ribosomal RNA", at positions 524 to 776 of the family's 1533-position model. The record is from RNAcentral.